This 833-nucleotide ribosomal RNA is filed under the name uncultured bacterium. RNAcentral's name for it is "bacterial SSU rRNA". It matches the Rfam family "Bacterial small subunit ribosomal RNA", at positions 69 to 899 of the family's 1533-position model. The record is from RNAcentral.
UUGAACUUAGCUUGCUAAGUUUGAUGGCGACCGGCGCACGGGUGAGUAACACGUAUCCAACCUGCCGAUGACUCGGGGAUAGCCUUUCGAAAGAAAGAUUAAUACCCGAUGGCAUAGUUCUUCCGCAUGGUGGAACUAUUAAAGAAUUUCGGUCAUCGAUGGGGAUGCGUUCCAUUAGGUUGUUGGCGGGGUAACGGCCCACCAAGCCUUCGAUGGAUAGGGGUUCUGAGAGGAAGGUCCCCCACAUUGGAACUGAGACACGGUCCAAACUCCUACGGGAGGCAGCAGUGAGGAAUAUUGGUCAAUGGACGAGAGUCUGAACCAGCCAAGUAGCGUGAAGGAUGACUGCCCUAUGGGUUGUAAACUUCUUUUAUACGGGAAUAAAGUGAGGCACGUGUGCCUUUUUGUAUGUACCGUAUGAAUAAGGAUCGGCUAACUCCGUGCCAGCAGCCGCGGUAAUACGGAGGAUCCGAGCGUUAUCCGGAUUUAUUGGGUUUAAAGGGAGCUUAGGCGGACGCUUAAGUCAGUUGUGAAAGUUUGCGGCUCAACCGUAAAAUUGCAGUUGAUACUGGGUGUCUUGAGUACAGUAGAGGCAGGCGGAAUUCGUGGUGUAGCGGUGAAAUGCUUAGAUAUCACGAAGAACUCCGAUUGCGAAGACAGCUUGCUGGACUGUAACUGACGCUGAUGCUCGAAAGUGUGGGUAUCAAACAGGAUUAGAUACCCUGGUAGUCCACACAGUAAACGAUGAAUACUCGCUGUUUGCGAUAUACAGUAAGCGGCCAAGCGAAAGCGUUAAGUAUUCCACCUGGGGAGUACGCCGGCAACGGUGCAAA